GUCAUGGAGAAGCACACUAAUAUUCCUUUGCAGCAAGGAGACAGGAUAUGAGCCCAGGCUCCCCCAUCUCUGUGACAUGAUAAGGAGAACAGCAGUACCAGACCAGUGGCCAGGCCAGAUAAACCAUGGUGAGUGGGCGGGUUGUGUUGUUCUCUAACUACUCCUUUGCAGUAUGUAGCCCAAGUAACUCCUGACGCCCUUACUGCGCAGCUAAGCUGCUUUUUAGUUAAAACCCAGAACCCCAGCAACAAACUGGAAAGAAAAAUGGAGGGCUUAGAAAAGGACCAUCCUUACUCGGAAUCUUCCCAGCAGCAUCCACCAGCCAGAGAGGAACACACUGUGCCAGGGGCCAUCACGCACCGCCUGCGAGACCGAGAGCUGCUGCGGAAAAGGAAAGCGGAGGCACAGGAGAAAGAUACUGUCCAAGAGCAAGGUACGAGCAAAGGGCCAAAGAGGGGCCGAGGAGCUGGGAGAAGAAGAGGCCGACAGCGGGGUACAGAGCCAGAGCCUCAGCCUGAAGUGCAAGAGGAGCUGGAGACGGAGCCCCCAGAGAAAGCACAGGCAUCUCCAGGGCACCACGAGGAGGAGCCCGCCCUGUCUGUGACUCAAGAGCUGUCUGGUGGGACUCAGCAGGAGGUGGUGGAGGGCCCACGAGCUGAGGAUACUCUGCAUCCAGCAGGUAAGUGGUUAGAGACCCUCAGGGAUCAGAGCAUAUUCCCAGAGAACUCUCCCCGGGUGCAUCCUUGGGGAGGAGAGGAACUGCCCAGCCAGGCAGUGGAGCAGUGACUGGCUAGCUGCAGAGCCUUUUCCUCGCUCAAGCCUGCACUUGGACACUGCAGUGACAGAUACAGCAACCUCCUGGCACCCCACUUGCUGAGCCAGUCUGUUCAAAACAGCAACCCCUGGGAAGGCCCCGCUUCCCUGGCCACAAGUGCCCCAAGGCGGGAGUGGAGCUGAUGGCUCUGUCCAGGCCUUUGGGGAAUUUCUCUACCCUGGAGGUCCCCGCAGCAGGGGUGUCCCAGACAAUCAGUGCAGAGGGGGCAGAGCCGAGCAGGGAACUGGGCCUGGGCAACAAGAAGGGGAUCCCGCCAAGUCCAGACCCAAGAGGAACCCAUCCAUCACCAGUGCAGCCUGGAAAUGGCAGGUAUGGAGAUUCUGGGGCCCAAGGCUCAGAGCUGUAACAAGGAAUUUUUGUGCCCAAGGCAAAGGCCGGUUCCAGGCUCUUCAACGGCAAUUCGGCGGUGGGUCCCUGAGUCCCUGUAGGAGACCAAUUCAGUUGCAUGUCCUUCCCUCCGAGAGGGACUCAGGGACCCGCCGCCGAAUUGCUGCCGAUCACGGUAGAGCUGUGCCCCUCCGCUUUGCGUGCCCGAGGCAAGUACCUCACUCACCUCGCCCUUGUUACAGCACUGCCAAAGGUUCUCCCCAUAGGUGCCCCAUGGGACAGCUACAGAGAUAACAGGGUCCCUGUAUUACCUGGGCCUCUUCCUGGCUCACAAGGAACUCACUGGGACUAGCGCUAUCGACACCAGGCCGUUCAUGUUUAUUCCACAGGGCGCUUCCUGGAGAUUGGGCUGAGAUUCCUAGAGGUGGCUAUGGGAUUUGGGUGCCAUUUCCCAUUGACAUUGAUGGAAAUUGAACAUCCACCUUCCCUGGGGGCUUUGAAACCAUCCUCUUAGGGCCAGCAUGUCAGAAGUGCUGGGUGCCUGCUACGCCCAUUGACCUCCAUUGGAGUCCAGAA
Long non-coding RNA from Gopherus agassizii (Agassiz's desert tortoise), 1738 nucleotides. Lineage: Eukaryota; Metazoa; Chordata; Testudines; Testudinidae. The record is from Ensembl.